UACGAAGGGGGCUAGCGUUGUUCGGAAUUACUGGGCGUAAAGCGCGCGCAGGCGGUCUUCCAAGUCAGUGGUGAAAGCCCGGAGCUCAACUCCGGAACUGCCAUUGAAACUGUUGGACUUGAGUACGAGAGAGGUGAGUGGAAUUCCCAGUGUAGAGGUGAAAUUCGUAGAUAUUGGGAAGAACACCGGUGGCGAAGGCGGCUCACUGGCUCGUAACUGACGCUGAGGCGCGACAGCGUGGGGAUCAAACAGG
This 253-nucleotide ribosomal RNA is filed under the name uncultured bacterium. RNAcentral's name for it is "partial 16S ribosomal RNA". It matches the Rfam family "Bacterial small subunit ribosomal RNA", at positions 524 to 776 of the family's 1533-position model. The record is from RNAcentral.